This is a long non-coding RNA of Tyto alba (common barn owl), 3573 nucleotides long. RefSeq lists it as uncharacterized. NCBI's taxonomy places the organism in Eukaryota, Metazoa, Chordata, Aves, Strigiformes, Tytonidae. The transcript is spliced from 8 exons. The record is from RefSeq and is a predicted model, not a curated record.
CCGCCCCGCCCCGCCCCGCCCGGCCGUUGGCCCUGAGGGGCCGCCAUGGCGGCGGGGGGCGGCCGGCUGUGGGGCGAAGCGCUGAGGGGGCUCUCGCUUCUCUUCGUCCUCCCCCCCCCCCCCAACCCUCUCCUCGCAGGGCAGAGGGAGCGGCGCCUUCCUCGCCCCGCGGAGCCGGGAAAAGCCCGGCUGCAAGGACAGGCAAGGCUGUGCGGGGGAGAACACGGGGCUCUGGAGGGCGCGGGCGGGGGGGGUCUUCGAAAAACGGGUUUGUGUUGUUCAGGGAAAAACAUGGCGAUAGAUUUAAAAUACGGCUGUUCCUGUGAGGAGGAAAAGAAAAAAAAAAAAAAAACAAAAAAAAAAAACAAAAAAACAACAAAAAACAAAACAAAAAAAAAAAAAGCACAACCCUGCCGCCUCCUUCUUACUUGACCCGUGUCCAAACGGCAGUUUAAAGAGAUCAUUUGCAUGGCGCGGUGCUACCGGCACGGCCUUCGACCUUUGGCGCGAUUUGGCAAAUCGGAUGGUUCUAAUUGCAAAAGCCUUUGAAACACCUUCCCACUGACCUCACGCUGCCCGCUAGAAACCGGAGUACAUGAAAACAAACACCUGAAGAGAAAAAUGCAAGCUGAGUUUCCAUAGGAGCUUAAGAAGGUCACUGUCAGGUUUAUCCCAGAUAUUAAUGAGGUAAGGAAGUUUCUGGUGUUUUGGUUGGUUGUUUUUUGGGGUUGUUUUUUGGGGGUUUGUUUGUUUGUUUGUUUUAAUUUCAAGAGCAUUAUCUCCUCUAACUUUUCUUUGUGAUUGACAUUACCUUAUAAGAAGCCCUUGAAAACGUGAUACUGGACCUUGUAGGUUUACAGACUGACGAUUUCAGUUUCCCAACUAGGGGCUGCACAAGGGCACUGAUAUUUCAGGCAACCAAGUUCUUUGGGUCCAGCCUAUGAAAACAGAUUCUUAAAAACUUGGACCUAUGUAUCUAGUGCUGUUAUUAGGUGGCAUCCUAAUCUGUCAGAGCUGCCAUCGAUAUUUAUCAUCUACUGCAAUGUCAUCUUUACUGUGUUCUGAACAAAGCCUGAUGUCAGGUCUCCCUUCUGCAUUCAGUAGGGGACAGCUAAGCAGUCCCAGUGCCCGCUGCACAAUGUGCCUUGACUGCAAAAUCCUUCGGCUUCUGGCCAGAAAAGCAGCAAGAACACCCCACAGAGCUCUCACUGUAUGGGUCUACUUGUAGAAGAAGGGGUUAGGUUGUUCCCUGGUUCCCGUUUGUCCUCCAUGAGACAAAGGAAAAACAAUGCUCUGUGGAAACCAGGUCUCCUGGCAGUGGGCAAAGAGCGGCAGUUGUCCUGAGCAGAAGUGAUCCAUACAGAAGUGUAUCCAAACUAGCACAGUGAUUUUUCAAGAAUGAAAACAGGAUGUUACCCUAUAAAACAGGUCACUUCAGUGCAGGAAUCAGAUGUUUUUUCCUGGGGGACAAGGUGGAUGGCAGGGACAAACAGCUGGAUGCACACGGAGUAAGGAUGCUGAGAACAACCAGAACUGAGUCUACCACCGAGACAAUAUUUAUGGAGAAUUGCACUUUUUACUGAUUAAGGUUUUCACAGGUCCUAACUCCACAUGCCUUGGAUCGCUGCUUCAGGAGACCCUCCUGAGCUGUUUGGCUGUCUGUCUUCACCUUCCAGGUCUGGGCUGGAAGUGCAGCGCUGGAGUGGAGGAUCCUUUCCGCACGCUGCUGCGUCCCUAAGCAGACUCCGGGCAGCUGAGAAGGAGGCCUGGCCGUUCCCCAAGGCAUCUCUGCAGGGGCUGAUAACCAGUACUCCAGCCACGCAGGAGACCUGGACCUUGGCUCUUCAUUUCAGGGGCACCAAGACCAGAAGACCAGCUGUUAGGGUCACCAUUGAUACCCUAUUCAAGGGGCAACAGAAACAUCCCUGAUGUUCAUCAGCAGUGCUUUUUGGUGGCACCAGAGCCUUGGACCACUGCCUGGGUUCCAGAUGUGUAUGGGCUUUUCUCUGCCUCUUCACAGAGAAAUUGGAUGUCUCUUUUGAAGACACAUUUUAAUCAAGUGGAAAUUACUGGAAUCACUACAGGGGGGAAAUAGUUCAAAAUCUGUGGCCUGUAUCAUGCAGGCUUUUUGGAUCCACAUUGAACAACCCAUGGAUACUUGGAGAGGGAGCCUGUUUCCUACUCCAACACUGGCUUCAGUUGAACUGCAGCUUGGUAAUGAAGGAGGAAAAAACAGCACUCACCAUCCUUUUAGCCCUUAUGCCUCCUAGGUAGGAAACUUACUCCUGGUCUGUAGGUCUUGCUGUGUUUUCAGGAUGAGGUCGUAUGCCCUGCGCUAAGCCAAACCAACUGCUCAGGGCUGUGCCAUGCCCCAUGGAGGAAAGUACUGCUUUCUGGCUAGAGAUGCAAACUACUCUGCUGAGAAGUGGCAUGCUGAUGUUGAGCUGAGCAGCCCUUUCAGCAUUACAAAGCCUUGCUGGGCAAAUAUACAUCAGUUGAGCGGCGUACAAAGCAGGGUAGACGGUCUGGGCAUUUCUGUACUUUGUGGGCUCUGGACUCACGGGCCAGCAGCCUGGAACUUCCCUGAGAGCCUCUGAGGCUCAGGUAGGCUGAUGGCACGUGGUCAUGAGACAGACCUGCUGGGAAAGGGGAGGGCUGCGCACUGGCUGGUGGUUGCUGACUGGAUCACACUCAUCCUGGAGGGAACAGUCCAGGAGAAAGACAUGCCGACACCAUCACACCUCCAGAUGAACAUCUCCCUACAGGUGGACCGGGCUACAUCUUCAUUUUGAGACUAAAAAGAUUUCCUGGCCUGAAGAAAUGAGGCGUUUCACUCCAUAUGGAUGUGCUGAUAUCGGCUGCUAGGGGUCAUUAAUACACACCUAUUAGCCAUUUUUAUUUUAAGAAUAUCAAGUAGUACUUGUAUCUACCAUCUGUAGGGUUUUUUUUUAUUUUAUUUUUUUAGUGGAUUAGGUUGAAAAAGGUUUCCUUUCGGGACUGCAGGCCCAAACCCAUCCUCACAAGUGUGAGGGUACCAACCCCUGGAGAUGUAUGUUUGACCCAGAAGCACAGAUCCCUGUAUUGCACCCAGUACCAGCAAGUACCGGUCUGAGGACAGGUGGGUGCAAGGUGCUGCAUCAUCUGGGAAGAAGCUGCUUGAAGGUCAGCUGCUGCACAGUGCCCUCUGCGUGCAGGCUUUCUGGUCUAUGGGGGGCACGCGUGGGGCUCGCAUCCCGACACAGCCAGCUCACGAUGACAAGAGAAAGCUGUGGGUUUAUCAGCAGCAGUGCUGCAGGGGUGACUUCUGUGACAAGACACCAGGAGCUGCCCCCAUGGUAGACAGAGCCAGUUCCAGCCAUCUGCAAGAAGGACCUGCUGGUGGCCAAAUCUGGGCCACAGUUCUCCAGGUGUGGCCUCACCACUGCUGAGCAGAGGGGAAGGAUCAUUACACGUUGCUACUGCCCCGAGCAAGGUGGUUUCACCAGAGACUGUAGGAAGUGGAGGUAUUCCUGUCCACUGUCCCAUCAGACUGGCCUGUGAGGGAGAUGCCUGGCAACUGGCAGGAAACAAGAA